RNAcentral lists this transfer RNA (67 nucleotides) under Stheneboea repudiosa. RNAcentral describes it as "tRNA-Glu". The record is from RNAcentral. Lineage: Eukaryota; Metazoa; Arthropoda; Insecta; Phasmatodea; Lonchodidae.
AUUUAUAUAGUUUAAAUAAAACAUUACAUUUUCAAUGUAAAAUCAAAAUCAUAUUUUUUUAUAAAUU